GGGGGGGGGGGGGGGGGGGGGGGGGGGGGGGGGGGGGGGGGGGGGGGGGGGGGGAGGGGGGUGGUGCGGGGGGGGGGGGGCGGGGGGGGGGGGAAGGGAUCGGAGUCUAAUUUUGGGGGGGGGAGAACGUAGGGAGACUUACGCUAGGACGGCGACGGACCUACGGGUGAAAGCAGGGGAUCUUCGGACCUUGCGCGCUUGACUGAGCCGAUGUCGGAUUAGCGAGUUGGCGGGGUAAAGGCCCACCAAGGCGACGGUCCGUCGCUGGUCUGAGAGGAUGAUCAGCCACACUGGAACUGAGACACGGUCCAGACUCCUACGGGAGGCAGCAGUGGGGAAUAUUGGACCAUGGGCGCAAGCCUGAUCCAGCCAUACCGCGUGGGUGAAGAAGGCCUUCGGGUUGUAAAGCCCUUUUGUUGGGAAAGAAAAGCAGCAGGUUAAUACCCCGCUGUUCUGACGGUACCCAAAGAAUAAGCACCGGCUAACUUCGUG
This 492-nucleotide ribosomal RNA is filed under the name uncultured bacterium. Its description in RNAcentral is "partial 16S ribosomal RNA". The stretch from base 97 to 492 matches the Rfam family "Bacterial small subunit ribosomal RNA", at positions 1 to 507 of the family's 1533-position model. The record is from RNAcentral.